This 30-nucleotide non-coding RNA is filed under the name Mus musculus (house mouse). The record is from RNAcentral. Lineage: Eukaryota; Metazoa; Chordata; Mammalia; Rodentia; Muridae.
UAAACACACAUAUCUUGGCCAAACUGAAUU